Molecule: unclassified non-coding RNA, 203 nt
Filed under: rhizosphere metagenome
Description: partial ribosomal RNA internal transcribed spacer region
Source: RNAcentral
GUAGGUGAACCUGCGGAAGGAUCAUUAUCGUGGGGCUUCGGCCCUAUCGAGAUAGAACCCUUGCCUUUAUAGUACCUUCUGUUGCCUCGGCGCCUGCUUCACGGCGGCGCCAACGAGGCCAACCAAAAACUCUUUUUAUUACCUGUACCAGUCUGAAAAACAAACAAAAGUUAAAACUUUCAACAACGGAUCUCUUGGUUCUG